RNAcentral lists this ribosomal RNA (1552 nucleotides) under Escherichia sp. E4742. RNAcentral's name for it is "bacterial SSU rRNA". It matches the Rfam family "Bacterial small subunit ribosomal RNA". Lineage: Bacteria; Pseudomonadati; Pseudomonadota; Gammaproteobacteria; Enterobacterales; Enterobacteriaceae. The record is from RNAcentral.
AAAUUGAAGAGUUUGAUCAUGGCUCAGAUUGAACGCUGGCGGCAGGCCUAACACAUGCAAGUCGAACGGUAACAGGAAUCAGCUUGCUGAUUCGCUGACGAGUGGCGGACGGGUGAGUAAUGUCUGGGAAACUGCCCGAUGGAGGGGGAUAACUACUGGAAACGGUAGCUAAUACCGCAUAACGUCGCAAGACCAAAGAGGGGGACCUUCGGGCCUCUUGCCAUCGGAUGUGCCCAGAUGGGAUUAGCUAGUAGGUGGGGUAACGGCUCACCUAGGCGACGAUCCCUAGCUGGUCUGAGAGGAUGACCAGCCACACUGGAACUGAGACACGGUCCAGACUCCUACGGGAGGCAGCAGUGGGGAAUAUUGCACAAUGGGCGCAAGCCUGAUGCAGCCAUGCCGCGUGUAUGAAGAAGGCCUUCGGGUUGUAAAGUACUUUCAGCGGGGAGGAAGGGAGUAAAGUUAAUACCUUUGCUCAUUGACGUUACCCGCAGAAGAAGCACCGGCUAACUCCGUGCCAGCAGCCGCGGUAAUACGGAGGGUGCAAGCGUUAAUCGGAAUUACUGGGCGUAAAGCGCACGCAGGCGGUUUGUUAAGUCAGAUGUGAAAUCCCCGGGCUCAACCUGGGAACUGCAUCUGAUACUGGCAAGCUUGAGUCUCGUAGAGGGGGGUAGAAUUCCAGGUGUAGCGGUGAAAUGCGUAGAGAUCUGGAGGAAUACCGGUGGCGAAGGCGGCCCCCUGGACGAAGACUGACGCUCAGGUGCGAAAGCGUGGGGAGCAAACAGGAUUAGAUACCCUGGUAGUCCACGCCGUAAACGAUGUCGACUUGGAGGUUGUGCCCUUGAGGCGUGGCUUCCGGAGCUAACGCGUUAAGUCGACCGCCUGGGGAGUACGGCCGCAAGGUUAAAACUCAAAUGAAUUGACGGGGGCCCGCACAAGCGGUGGAGCAUGUGGUUUAAUUCGAUGCAACGCGAAGAACCUUACCUGGUCUUGACAUCCACGGAAGUUUUCAGAGAUGAGAAUGUGCCUUCGGGAACCGUGAGACAGGUGCUGCAUGGCUGUCGUCAGCUCGUGUUGUGAAAUGUUGGGUUAAGUCCCGCAACGAGCGCAACCCUUAUCCUUUGUUGCCAGCGGUCCGGCCGGGAACUCAAAGGAGACUGCCAGUGAUAAACUGGAGGAAGGUGGGGAUGACGUCAAGUCAUCAUGGCCCUUACGACCAGGGCUACACACGUGCUACAAUGGCGCAUACAAAGAGAAGCGACCUCGCGAGAGCAAGCGGACCUCAUAAAGUGCGUCGUAGUCCGGAUUGGAGUCUGCAACUCGACUCCAUGAAGUCGGAAUCGCUAGUAAUCGUGGAUCAGAAUGCCACGGUGAAUACGUUCCCGGGCCUUGUACACACCGCCCGUCACACCAUGGGAGUGGGUUGCAAAAGAAGUAGGUAGCUUAACCUUCGGGAGGGCGCUUACCACUUUGUGAUUCAUGACUGGGGUGAAGUCGUAACAAGGUAACCGUAGGGGAACCUGCGGUUGGAUCACCUCCUUACCUUAAAGAA